RNAcentral lists this ribosomal RNA (433 nucleotides) under uncultured bacterium. RNAcentral's name for it is "partial 16S ribosomal RNA". It matches the Rfam family "Bacterial small subunit ribosomal RNA", at positions 29 to 507 of the family's 1533-position model. The record is from RNAcentral.
AACGAACGCUGGCGGCAGGCCUAACACAUGCAAGUCGAGCGAGGACUUCGGUUCUAGCGGCGGACGGUUGAGUAAUGCGUGGGAAUGUGCCCUUCUCCACGGAAUAGCCCUGGGAAACUGGGAGUAAUACCGUAUACGUCCUAUUGGGGUAAGAUUUAACGGAGAAGGAUCAGCCUGCGUUGGAUUAGGUAGUUGUUGGGGUAAUGGCCUACCACGACUACGAUCCAUAGCUGGAUUGGGAGAAUGAUCAGCGACACUGGCGCUGAGGCAGGACCCGGACUGCUAAGAGAGGCAGCAGAGGGGAAUCAUGGACAAUAGGGGGAACCCUGAACUAGCCAUGCCGGGUAAGUGAUGAGGGGGUUAGGGAAGGAAAGCACUUUGAGCUAGGAAGAUAAUGACGGUACCAGCAGAAGAAGCCCCGGCUAACUCCGUG